UGUAACUGUACUCCAUUCUACGUGUCUAGUUACUAUUUAGACACGUGCAUCAAGAUUUCCAGAUCCAUUGCAAUGGAAAGUAAGCUUGGGGAGGGAGAGGCUAAUUAUACACCAUUGAGUGCAGCGUUGAUGAAAUUCUCUUGUUAGCUUACUAGCUAUUUUCUCACGAUGGCGUGGAAUCAUUUCACCAGCGCUGCAUUCAACCAUGUUUUUCCCUCUUCCGGGCAUGGUGGUUUUGUAUUGUGUAUCAAGAGAUUGUCGAGAAAUUUUGUUGCGUUUUCAAGGACACUGCCAUGACAGAGGUGUAACCUAGAGAACCGACCAUUAUGCGUGGCUUGCAUGGUCGGCUAGAAUCGUGCUGAGUCCAUGCCCUUGCAACUGUUCUUGGUAUAUGAGAAGAUCAGUCUCCAAACUAUGUGCUGAUCUCAGACGGGUCCCCAAACCGUACAUUUUCUUAAUUGAAUCUCCAAAGCAUUAUACAUUCCUCA
This is a long non-coding RNA of Populus nigra (black poplar), 488 nucleotides long. RefSeq lists it as uncharacterized. NCBI's taxonomy places the organism in Eukaryota, Viridiplantae, Streptophyta, Magnoliopsida, Malpighiales, Salicaceae. The record is from RefSeq and is a predicted model, not a curated record. The transcript is spliced from 2 exons.